UAUAGGACGUCCAACUUAACUUGGAGUCCGAACUCUCACUUUCUAACCCUGUGCACUUGUUUGGGAUAGUAACUCUCGCAAGAGAGCGAACUCCUAUUCACUUAUAAACACAAAGUCUAUGAAUGUAUUAAAUUUUAUAACAAAAUAAAACUUUCAACAACGGAUCUCUUGGCUCUCGCAUCGAUGAAGAACGCAGCGAAAUGCGAUAAGUAAUGUGAAUUGCAGAAUUCAGUGAAUCAUCGAAUCUUUGAACGCACCUUGCGCUCCAUGGUAUUCCGUGGAGCAUGCCUGUUUGAGUGUCAUGAAUACUUCAACCCUCCUCUUUCUUAAUGAUUGAAGAGGUGUUUGGUUUCUGAGCGCUGCUGGCCUUUACGGUCUAGCUCGUUCGUAAUGCAUUAGCAUCCGCAAUCGAACUUCGGAUUGACUUGGCGUAAUAGACUAUUCGCUGAGGAAUUCUAGUCUUCGGAUUAGAGCCGGGUUGGGUUAAAGGAAGCUUCUAAUCAGAAUGUCUACAUUUUAAGAUUAGAUCUCAAAUCAGGUAGGACUACCCGCUGAACUUAAGCAUAUCAAUAAGCGGAGGAAAAGAAACUAACAAGGAUUCCCCUAGUAGCGGCGAGCGAAGCGGGAAGAGCUCAAAUUUAUAAUCUGGCACCUUCGGUGUCCGAGUUGUAAUCUCUAGAAAUGUUUUCCGCGUUGGACCGCACACAAGUCUGUUGGAAUACAGCGGCAUAGUGGUGAGACCCCCGUAUAUGGUGCGGACGCCCAGCGCUUUGUGAUACAUUUUCGAAGAGUCGAGUUGUUUGGGAAUGCAGCUCAAAUUGGGUGGUAAAUUCCAUCUAAAGCUAAAUAUUGGCGAGAGACCGAUAGCGAACAAGUACCGUGAGGGAAAGAUGAAAAGCACUUUGGAAAGAGAGUUAACAGUACGUGAAAUUGUUGGAAGGGAAACGCUUGAAGUCAGACUUGCUUGCCGAGCAAUCGGUUUGCAGGCCAGCAUCAGUUUUCCGGGAUGGAUAAUGGUAGAGAGAAGGUAGCAGUUUCGGCUGUGUUAUAGCUCUCUGCUGGAUACAUCUUGGGGGACUGAGGAACGCAGUGUGCCUUUGGCGGGGGUUUCGACCUC
RNAcentral lists this ribosomal RNA (1117 nucleotides) under Rhodotorula mucilaginosa. RNAcentral's name for it is "eukaryotic LSU rRNA". The stretch from base 525 to 1117 matches the Rfam family "Eukaryotic large subunit ribosomal RNA", at positions 1 to 590 of the family's 3401-position model. The record is from RNAcentral. Lineage: Eukaryota; Fungi; Basidiomycota; Microbotryomycetes; Sporidiobolales; Sporidiobolaceae.